GCUCCUCAGCAGCUCAUCCACGUGCAGCAAGAUCGCCUCCGGUGCCACGACUCGUCGGCGGCUCGUCGGCGGCUCGUCCAAGUGCUGCAGGCGCAACACCUCCAAGGUAUCCACACGUGCAGGAAGGAAGCGUCACAAGCCAGACUGCUAGAUCCGCGAGUUGCAACAGGCGAGGGCGUGGGAGGCGCGGCAGGUGUGUUUCUCCAAAAAGGUGUAAACCCUAGGGCGCCCCCACCCCUCUAUUUAUAGAGGUUCCUGACGGGCCUCUGGGUCCG
This 275-nucleotide long non-coding RNA is filed under the name Setaria viridis. Its description in RNAcentral is "long non-coding RNA (SVIR_LNC000319)". Lineage: Eukaryota; Viridiplantae; Streptophyta; Magnoliopsida; Poales; Poaceae. The record is from RNAcentral.